CUACGGGGGGCUGCAGUCGAGAGGCUUCGUCAAUGGGGGCAACCCUGAACGAGCGACGCCGCGUGAGCGAUGAAGGUCGUAAGAUCGUAAAGCUCUGUUAGUGGGGAAGAAACCCCGGGGUGCUAAUACCACCACGGCUUGACGUUACCCACAAAGAAAGCUCCGGCUAGCUCCGUGCCAGCAGCCGCGGUAACACGGGGGGAGCAAACGUUGUUCGGAAUCACUGGGCGGAAGGGCGCGUAGGCGGCCUGGUCAGUGAAACGUGAAAGCCCCUGGCUCAACCAGGGAAUGUCGUUUCAUACUGCCAGGCUUGAGGACGGGAGAGGAGAGGGGAAUUCCCGGUGUAGCGGUGAAAUGCACUGAUAUCGGGAGGAACACCAGUGGCGAAGGCGCCUCUCUGGCCCGUUCCUGACGCUCAGGCGCGAAAGCAGGGGGAGCAAACAGGAUUAGAUACCCUCGUAGUC
RNAcentral lists this ribosomal RNA (464 nucleotides) under uncultured bacterium. RNAcentral describes it as "partial 16S ribosomal RNA". It matches the Rfam family "Bacterial small subunit ribosomal RNA", at positions 339 to 795 of the family's 1533-position model. The record is from RNAcentral.